GGGAAUUGGAGGAUUGAGGAAAGUAUUGGAGGAAGAAGAAAGCCUGUGCGCUGAAGAAGAAGGACGUGAGCUGGUAAGGAGUACGGGAUGUGCUGAUAUUUAAAGAAGGUCUGAGAAGGGGUAAAAAUGGAAUUUUUACCACGCCGGCGUUUUGAGUUUUUCGGGAGUAGUGGUUGUCGUGGGCGCCCAUUUCGAAAAGAUUGCAAUCAUCAGGAUGUUUUCGUGGCGUCUGUUUCGGAUGUGAAGUUAAAAAGAAUUUCGAAGUAAAGACUAUGUUUUACUCCGAAACUGGGGGGCAUGUGUUGACGCCAGAUUUUGACACGUGUAAAAUCGGCGUUAGGAGAAGAAAAGAUCGGAAGAUGCGGCGAGA
This 370-nucleotide long non-coding RNA is filed under the name Setaria viridis. RNAcentral describes it as "long non-coding RNA (SVIR_LNC005480)". Lineage: Eukaryota; Viridiplantae; Streptophyta; Magnoliopsida; Poales; Poaceae. The record is from RNAcentral.